RNAcentral lists this ribosomal RNA (1020 nucleotides) under Penicillium freii. Its description in RNAcentral is "SSU rRNA". It matches the Rfam family "Eukaryotic small subunit ribosomal RNA", at positions 72 to 1101 of the family's 1831-position model. The record is from RNAcentral. Lineage: Eukaryota; Fungi; Ascomycota; Eurotiomycetes; Eurotiales; Aspergillaceae.
ACUUGUACUGUGAAACUGCGAAUGGCUCAUUAAAUCAGUUAUCGUUUAUUUGAUAGUACCUUACUACAUGGAUACCUGUGGUAAUUCUAGAGCUAAUACAUGCUAAAAACCCCGACUUCAGGAAGGGGUGUAUUUAUUAGAUAAAAAACCAACGCCCUUCGGGGCUCCUUGGUGAAUCAUAAUAACUUAACGAAUCGCAUGGCCUUGCGCCGGCGAUGGUUCAUUCAAAUUUCUGCCCUAUCAACUUUCGAUGGUAGGAUAGUGGCCUACCAUGGUGGCAACGGGUAACGGGGAAUUAGGGUUCGAUUCCGGAGAGGGAGCCUGAGAAACGGCUACCACAUCCAAGGAAGGCAGCAGGCGCGCAAAUUACCCAAUCCCGAUACGGGGAGGUAGUGACAAUAAAUACUGAUACGGGGCUCUUUUGGGUCUCGUAAUUGGAAUGAGAACAAUUUAAAUCCCUUAACGAGGAACAAUUGGAGGGCAAGUCUGGUGCCAGCAGCCGCGGUAAUUCCAGCUCCAAUAGCGUAUAUUAAAGUUGUUGCAGUUAAAAAGCUCGUAGUUGAACCUUGGGCCUGGCUGGCCGGUCCGCCUCACCGCGAGUACUGGUCCGGCUGGGCCUUUCCUUCUGGGGAACCUCAUGGCCUUCACUGGCUGUGGGGGGAACCAGGACUUUUACUGUGAAAAAAUUAGAGUGUUCAAAGCAGGCCUUUGCUCGAAUACAUUAGCAUGGAAUAAUAGAAUAGGACGUGUGGUUCUAUUUUGUUGGUUUCUAGGACCGCCGUAAUGAUUAAUAGGGAUAGUCGGGGGCGUCAGUAUUCAGCUGUCAGAGGUGAAAUUCUUGGAUUUGCUGAAGACUAACUACUGCGAAAGCAUUCGCCAAGGAUGUUUUCAUUAAUCAGGGAACGAAAGUUAGGGGAUCGAAGACGAUCAGAUACCGUCGUAGUCUUAACCAUAAACUAUGCCGACUAGGGAUCGGACGGGAUUCUAUAAUGACCCGUUCGGCACCUUACGAGAAAUCAA